UGUAAUCCCAGCAUUUUGAGAGGCCGAGGCGGGUGGAUCACUUGAGGUCAGGAGUUCAGGACCAGCCUGGCCAACAUGGUGAGACCUUGUCUACUAAAAAUACAAAAAUUAGCUGGGCAUGGUGGCAGGUGCCUGUCAUCCCAGCUACUCAGGAGGCUGAGGUAGGAGAAUCGCUUGAACCCGGGAGGCAGAGGUUGCAGUGAGCCAAGAUUGUGCCACUGCACUCCAGCCUGGGUGACAGAAUGAGACUCUGUCUCAAAAAACAAACAAACAGAGACUAGAAACUCACACCAAUCAUUACCUCGUAAGUGCAGUUAGCUCAGGAAGUACAAUAUUUCCAAAAAGGGGAGAGGUUGCAAUUAGCCAAGACUGUGCCAUUGCACUCCAGCCUGGGCAACAAGAACGAAACUCCGAGGAAAACCUCUGACACACAGCCUCUCCCUCUCCCUCUCCCUCUCCCUCUCCCUCCCCCUCCCCCUCCCCCUCCCCCUCUCCCUCUCCCUCUCCGUCUCCCUCUCUCUCCACGGUCUCCUUCCACGGUCUCCCUCUGAUGCCAAGCCAAAGCUGGACGGUACUGCUGCCAUCUCGGCUCACUGCAACCUCCCUGCCUGAUUCUCCUGCCUCAGCCUGCCGAGUGCCUGUGAUUGCAGGCGCGCGCCGCCACGCCUGACUGGUUUUCGUUUUUUUUUUUGGUGGAGACGGGGUUUUGCUGUGUUGGCCGGGCUGGUCUCCAGCUCCUAACCGCGAGUGAUCCGCCAGCCUCGGCCUCCCGAGGUGCUGGGAUUGCAGACGGAGUCUCGUUCACUCAGUGCUCAAUGGUGCCCAGGCUGGAGUGCAGCGGCGUGAUCUCGGCUCGCUACAACCUCCACCUCCCAGCUGCCCGCCUUGGCCCCCCAAAGUGCCAAGAUUGCAGCCUCUGCCCAGCCGCCACCCCAUGUGGGAAGUGAGGAGCGUCUCUGCCUGGCCCCCCAUCGUCUGGGAUAUGAGGAGCCUCUCUGCCUGGCUGCCCAGUCUGGAAAGUGAGGAGCGUCUCUGCCCGGCCGCCAUCCCAUCUAGGAAGUGAGGAGCGCCUCUUCCCGGCCGCCAUCCCAUCUAGGAAGCGAGGAGCGCCUCUUCCCCGCCGCCCAUCGUCUGAGAUGUGGGGAGCGCCUCUGCCCCGCCGCCCUGUCUGGGAUGUGAGGAGCGUCUCUGCCCGGCCGCCCCGUCUGAGAAGUGAGGAAACCCUCUGCCUGGCAACCGCCCCGUCUGAGAAGUGAGGAGCCCCUCCGCCCGGCAGCUGCCCCGUCUGGGAAGUGAGGAGCGUCUCCGCCCGGCAGCCGCCCCGUCCGGGAGGGAGGUGGGGGGGGGUCAGCCCCCCGCCGGGCCAGCCGCCCCGUCCGGGAGGUGAGGGGCUCCUCUGCCCGGCCGCCCCUACUGGGAAGUGAGGAGCCCUCUGCCCGGCCAGCCGCCCCGUCCGGGAGGGAGGUGGGGGGUCAGCCCCCCGCCCGGCCAGCCGCCCAGUCCGGGAGGGAGGUGGGGGGUCAGCCCCCCGCCCAGCCAGCCGCCCCGUCCGGGAGGGAGGUGGGGGGAUCAGCCCCCCGCCUGGCCAGCCGCCCCAUCCGGGAGGUGAGGGGCGCCUCUGCCCGGCCGCCCCUACUGGGAAGUGAGGAGCCCCUCUGCCCGGCCAGCCGCCCCGUCCGGGAGGUGAGGGGUGCUUCUGCCCGGCCGCCCCUACUGGGAAGUGAGGAGCCCCUCUGCCCGGCCACGACCCCGUCUGGGAGGUGUGCCCAGCGGCUCAUUGGGGAUGGGCCAUGAUGACAAUGGCGGUUUUGUGGAAUAGAAAGGCGGGAAGGGUGGGGAAAAAAUUGAGAAAUCGGAUGGUUGCCGGGUCUGUGUGGAUAGAAGUAGACAUGGGAGACUUUUCAUUUUGUUCUGUACUAAGAAAAAUUCUUCUGCCUUGGGAUCCUGUUGAUCUGUCACCUUAUCCCCAACCCCGUGCUCUCUGAAACAUGUGCUGUGUCCACUCAGGGUUAAAUGGAUUAAGGGCGGUGCAAGAUGUGCUUUGUUAAACAGAUGCUUGAAGGCAGCAUGCUCGUUAAGAGUCAUCACCACUCCCUAAUCUCAAGUACCCAGGGACACAAACACUGCGGAAGGCCGCAGGGACCUCUGCCUAGGAAAACCAGAGACCUUUGUUCACUUGUUUAUCUGCUGACCUUCCCUCCACUAUUGUCCUGUGACCCUGCCAAAUCCCCCUCUGCGAGAAACACCCAAGAAUGAUCAAUAAAAAAAA
This 2269-nucleotide long non-coding RNA is filed under the name Homo sapiens (human). RNAcentral's name for it is "HSALNT0338985". Lineage: Eukaryota; Metazoa; Chordata; Mammalia; Primates; Hominidae. The record is from RNAcentral.